GAUGUGAGGGUGAUCUAGCUGUGACAUCGAUCACCAGGAUUGAUUUUGCUGCUUUGGUUGGCUGGUUAGGUGGGUUCACUUUCUGCCUCACCACUGCAUUCGCAGCUUCUCAAGCUGCAUAUUCCGUGGCAGAGGACCACCUUCCUUCCAUUAGAGAGGAGGACUAGUCUUCAUUCCGGUGUGUAGGAAUAGCUGCAUUUCCUUCCUAGAACCUCUAAACAGGCUCUAAAUAACUUGAUAAAAACUUGAGUGUCCCAUCAGGGAAAAUGUUACAAUAGGUAAUGAAUUUGUAUCC
Molecule: small nuclear RNA, 295 nt
Filed under: Peromyscus maniculatus bairdii (prairie deer mouse)
Lineage: Eukaryota; Metazoa; Chordata; Mammalia; Rodentia; Cricetidae
Description: 7SK RNA (ENSPEMG00000003988.2)
Rfam family: 7SK RNA
About the family: 7SK was discovered as an abundant small nuclear RNA in the mid-70s but a possible function has only recently been suggested. Two independent studies have found that 7SK RNA binds the CDK9/cyclin T complex (known as elongation factor P-TEFb).
Source: Rfam by way of RNAcentral